CCCAGUGUAGCAUAGUGGUAUGGAUCAGGGCUCCUAACCCAGAGGUUGCUGGUUCAGUUCCCUGCUGAGG
Non-coding RNA from Megalops atlanticus (tarpon), 70 nucleotides. Lineage: Eukaryota; Metazoa; Chordata; Actinopteri; Elopiformes; Megalopidae. The record is from the annotation of a GenBank genome assembly.